RNAcentral lists this ribosomal RNA (446 nucleotides) under uncultured bacterium. Its description in RNAcentral is "partial 16S ribosomal RNA". It matches the Rfam family "Bacterial small subunit ribosomal RNA", at positions 338 to 795 of the family's 1533-position model. The record is from RNAcentral.
CCUACGGGAGGCAGCAGUCGAGAAUCAUUCACAAUGGGGGAAACCCUGAUGGUGCGACGCCGCGUGGGGGAAUGAAGGUCUUCGGAUUGUAAACCCCUGUCAUGUGGGAGCAAAUUAAAAAGAUAGUACCACAAGAGGAAGAGACGGCUAACUCUGUGCCAGCAGCCGCGGUAAUACAGAGGUCUCAAGCGUUGUUCGGAAUCACUGGGCGUAAGGCGUGCGUAGGCUGUUUCGUAAGGCGUGUGUGAAAGGCGCGGGCUCAACCCGCGGACGGCACAUGAUACUGCGAGACUAGAGUAAUGGAGGGGGAACCGGAAUUCUCGGUGUAGCAGUGAAAUGCGUAGAUAUCGAGAGGAACACUCGUGGCGAAGGCGGGUUCCUGGACAUUAACUGACGCUGAGGCACGAAGGCCAGGGGAGCGAAAGGGAUUAGAUACCCGGGUAGUC